Molecule: ribosomal RNA, 465 nt
Filed under: Vreelandella stevensii
Lineage: Bacteria; Pseudomonadati; Pseudomonadota; Gammaproteobacteria; Oceanospirillales; Halomonadaceae
Description: partial 16S ribosomal RNA
Rfam family: Bacterial small subunit ribosomal RNA
Source: RNAcentral
CCUACGGGUGGCAGCAGUGGGGAAUAUUGGACAAUGGGGGGAACCCUGAUCCAGCCAUGCCGCGGGUGUGAAGAAGGCCCUCGGGUUGUAAAGCACUUUCAGUGAGGAAGAACGCCUGGUGGUUAAUACCCAUCAGGAAAGACAUCACUCACAGAAGAAGCACCGGCUAACUCCGUGCCAGCAGCCGCGGUAAUACGGAGGGUGCGAGCGUUAAUCGGAAUUACUGGGCGUAAAGCGCGCGUAGGUGGCUUGAUAAGCCGGUUGUGAAAGCCCCGGGCUCAACCUGGGAACGGCAUCCGGAACUGUCAAGCUAGAGUGCAGGAGAGGAAGGUAGAAUUCCCGGUGUAGCGGUGAAAUGCGUAGAGAUCGGGAGGAAUACCAGUGGCGAAGGCGGCCUUCUGGACUGACACUGACACUGAGGUGCGAAAGCGUGGGUAGCAAACAGGAUUAGAUACCCGUGUAGUC